UAGCAAAGCAGGAUAACCAUUGCAAUGUUCAGUGAUUCAAAACCUAGUUCCCGUAAGGUCCUAGACGACUCCUAGUGGAGCCUGGAAUAGAACUGAGCCUCGCACACACUAGGCAUGCAUUGUGCACAUAUACACAGAUCGUUUUCUUUUUUACAUUUAUUUAUGUGCGCUCCUGCCUGCAUGUACGGGUGUGGUGGUCAGAGGACAUCUUGUAUGAGUUGGUUUUCUUCAUUAUGUGUCCCAAAGAUCCAAAAUAGUCCACUCCCAUCUCCUGAGCCAUCACCAUGGCCACCUCCCUCACCCCCACUCCCCUGCCUCAGUACUAAGCCAGGGCUCCACCACUGGGUGCUAUUCCCACCCCAUCUUUUUGUUUGUUUGUUUAGUUUGGGGUGAUUGUUAAUUUGUGUUCGAAACAGGGUCUCUCUGUGUAGCCCUAGCCGUCCUGGAACUCUCUAUGUAGUCCAGGUUGGCCUUGAACUCGCAGACCCACCUGCCUCUGCGUGAGCCUUGUACACAUAGACAAAACUAUUUUGAGCUGAAUAAGUGCCUUUCAAGUUCUGUGAGUCCAGCUACUUAAGAGGCAAGAGGAUCAAAAGUUCAAGGCCUGGGGGAGGGAAGAGGUAUUGAUACACUCAUGAUCUAUUGUAUGGAAUUCUCAAAUUAUUAAUAAAAGUAUUAAUUUAAAAAGAGCACUGGGUUAAAGGUAUGUACUGCUACACCCAGCUUCUGCUUAGUAUUCCUUCUUAGAUUUAAUUUUAUGUGCAUGAACAUUUUGUCUGCAUCGCACCAUAUGGAGGAUGAGAGAGGGUCUCAGAGCCCCUGGAACUGUAGAGAUGUUUUCCUACCUUUAUGUCUGUGGUCUGCGCUGUGGCUGGCUGCUAUUCAAGGAGGAGAAGAGGGAGUCAGAUCCUCUUGGACUGAAGUUACCGAAGGUUGUGGGUCUCCAGGUGAACGGUUGGAAUCAAACUUAGUGCUUUUAAACUGAGAACUAUCUCUUUUAGUGUGUGUGUGUGUGUGUGUGUAUUAUAAAUAUUAUAUAUAUAUUUGUUUUUUGAGACAGGGCUUCUCUGUGUAGCCUUGGCCAUUCUGGAACUUCUUCUUUAACCAGGCUGGCCACCACUCCCUGGCUAGUUAUUU
Molecule: long non-coding RNA, 1137 nt
Filed under: Rattus norvegicus (Norway rat)
Lineage: Eukaryota; Metazoa; Chordata; Mammalia; Rodentia; Muridae
Description: long non-coding RNA NONRATT027491
Source: RNAcentral